Molecule: long non-coding RNA, 1307 nt
Organism: Pipistrellus kuhlii (Kuhl's pipistrelle)
Lineage: Eukaryota; Metazoa; Chordata; Mammalia; Chiroptera; Vespertilionidae
Exons: 2
Source: RefSeq, a predicted model, not a curated record
UGUUUUAAAAAAUUAAUUAAUUAAUUAAAAAAAGUUAGUAGGCAUUUGAUUUUUCUUUAGUUGUAAUUGUUUAUUGAUAACCUGUUUUAAUAAAAUUAUAAACUUAUAUAAUAUAAAUAAUUGGAAAAGGGUCUGGGAUUGCUGAUGAACAUAUAAAAUGUAAAUAAGUUUCCUGAAAUUUUCAACUUAGGCAUAAGUAGAAUGGAUUUAGAGGAAGGUCCUGUCAUUGUGUUAAAGAUCCUAUUCUGUGUGACAUUAAGGACCUGUUUUCUUAUUGUGUAUUUAGUACUGGGUUUAUAUUUGAAAUUAUUCCUGAGAAUUACUGUUUAAAACAGGAAGGACAUGCUUCUGUGCAUGAAGAUUAUGCUAGUUUUGAAGUACAGGUAGUGAGCUAUACAGGCAGAUGAAUUUAAAUGGUACUUUGAGUUUAUUAUUUCAAGGAAUUUUUAUAGGUAUAUCUGGCUCUUUAAGAGUUAUUAGAUUUUAAAACUUAUUGAAACUUAGAAUACACACAUAUAAAUUAACACUAUGCAUCUUCUAGAAUUUGGCUUUAAGUUAAAUCAUAACCUAUUGUAUAUAAUAAAACCCUAAUAUGCAAAUUGACUUGAUGGUGGAAAGACUGGUCACUAUGAUAUGCAUUGACCACCGGGGGGCAGAUGCUCAAUGCAGUGCUGCUCCCAUGGCUGUACCUCUCGGGGGAUGCCCGACUGCUAGCUUAGGCCGCUCCCCCAAGGGUCCCCAACUGUGAGAGGGUGCAGGCUGGACUGAGGAACUGCCUCCCCAAUGCAUGAAUGUUGUGCACCGGGCUGCUAGUAGUAAAAUAAUAAUAGAUACACAUUGUGAAUUUCGCACAUAAUGGUGGUGUUAAAUGAUGCCUGCAGCUAAGUGUUACAGUAGAGAAUGUAGUAUAAACAAAUACAAUUCUCCAAGUCCUUUAAUUUUCUUGUAGCCUAAGUUAUUAGGUGAUAGAUGCAAUGUGUUCAAACCCUAGUAAUGGUUUGCAUAUUUCUAGACAUUAUUUCUAUAUCCUGUUUUUAAAAAACAAAAAACAAAAAAAAAACCCUUAGAAAUGUUUUAAUCAAAUUCUGCUAUUUGUGGGGUUUAUUGAUCUAUUUUUGUCAUUGGAUUGAUCUAUAUUACUAUUGUAUACUAUUUUCAUAACAUCAAUGAGUAAUUUGGUAUUAGAUGAUUUCCUCUGAAAACAAGUAUGAUUUAAACAAAUGGAACUCUGUUACAAUGCAGCAAACCACAACUAGUCAGUGAUAUCUGAUUUAAACUAAGCAAUUGAAAGAUUUUAAGCGGAAUAA